AAGAACUUAUUCCUGACCUGUUUCUGUUUCAAAUGCUACUUUGAAUCGGUUAGAAUCAACCCAAUGCUGACUUAGUAGCGAUAAACUAAUUAUUAUUCAAAAAUAAAGGAAUUUACAUUGCAUCAUGUAAAACUUCAUCAAAAUACUAAAUCAUCCAAUUAGCAAUGAGUGAAUCUAAUCUGGGACUUGUACUGUUCAGGUACUGAUGGAGCAAUGUGACUGAACAUGAACACUGCAGCCUUUGUCUCCAACCCCUCCAUAUGAGUGCUAAGCAUAAGGCAUCACCGGCCACAUGGGAUUAAGAAACACACAAGAAGCAGGUUAAUGCAUGAAUAAACCCAUUUGCAGCAGGUCAUACAGUAUUCAAUUGUGCCAAAGUACAAUCUGCUGAGGUGAUUAAAAAGUGGACAAAGCCUUGGUUUCUGCAAGAAGGAAUCAAAAGAUUGUUAUUUAAUUCCAGUAAGCCAUAUCUCAGCAUGAUAGAUCAUUUUUGCAGUACCCACUAUGCUUUGGUAAGAUCUGAUUUACAUCCAAGAAGCUCCACUAUUAUUAUAUUCUUAUCUUCUGUAAGCAACAGUCUUAGCCCACAUUUAGUGUGCUUUGAAUAAUAUCAUUCUUCUCUUUAUUCCCCGGA
This 634-nucleotide long non-coding RNA is filed under the name Oryza brachyantha (malo sina). RNAcentral's name for it is "long non-coding RNA (OBRA_LNC000348)". Lineage: Eukaryota; Viridiplantae; Streptophyta; Magnoliopsida; Poales; Poaceae. The record is from RNAcentral.